This is a long non-coding RNA of Lontra canadensis (Northern American river otter), 144 nucleotides long. RefSeq lists it as uncharacterized. Lineage: Eukaryota; Metazoa; Chordata; Mammalia; Carnivora; Mustelidae. The record is from RefSeq and is a predicted model, not a curated record. The transcript has 3 exons.
UCUGAACUGAUCAUUUUUAUUCAGGCAUUGUUAGAUCCUCCUUCAAUUCCAUUGCUGAAAUAGGAGGCACAACCAUUUAAAUUAACAACAAAUAAGCCACAUUUUCUUCUGUAAAUAAGAGAAGUUCAGAAUUUCUCCAAAAAC